CUCGGAUCUCGGAACACUAAAAGAAGGCAAAGAACCCUUCAGUUUCAGUUCUCAGUUACCAACAUUCAAAAACCGGAGAUGGGAUCUGGUGCUGGAAGUUUCCUCAAAGUUCUCCUUAAAAACUUCGAUGUUCUUGCUGGGCCUGUGGUUAGUUUGGUUUAGCCACUGUAUGCCUCAAUUCGGGUUAUAGAGACCAAAUCACCAACUGAUGAUCGCCAAUGGCUUACGUAUUGGAUUCUCUACUUUAUGAUUACACUCUUUGAGCUC
Rosa chinensis is the source of this 267-nucleotide long non-coding RNA. RefSeq lists it as uncharacterized. Lineage: Eukaryota; Viridiplantae; Streptophyta; Magnoliopsida; Rosales; Rosaceae. The record is from RefSeq and is a predicted model, not a curated record. The transcript has 3 exons.